RNAcentral lists this ribosomal RNA (252 nucleotides) under uncultured bacterium. Its description in RNAcentral is "partial 16S ribosomal RNA". It matches the Rfam family "Bacterial small subunit ribosomal RNA", at positions 524 to 776 of the family's 1533-position model. The record is from RNAcentral.
UACGUAGGGAGCGAGCGUUGUCCGGAAUCAUUGGGCGUAAAGGGCGCGUAGGCGGUCUAGCAAGUCAAAUGUGAAAUACACUGGCUUAACCAGUGGACGGCGUUUGAAACUGCAAGACUUGAGUGCAGUAGAGGAGAGUGGAAUUCCUGGUGUAGCGGUGAAAUGCGUAGAUAUCAGGAGGAACAUCGGUGGCGAAGGCGGCUCUCUGGCCUGUAACUGACGCUGAGGCGCGAAAGCGUGGGAGCGAACCGG